This 274-nucleotide ribosomal RNA is filed under the name uncultured bacterium. Its description in RNAcentral is "partial 16S ribosomal RNA". It matches the Rfam family "Bacterial small subunit ribosomal RNA", at positions 523 to 796 of the family's 1533-position model. The record is from RNAcentral.
AGACGAACCGGACAAACGUUAUUCGGAAUCAUUGGGCUUAAAGGGUGCGUAGGCGGUGCGGAAAGUUGGGUGUGAAAUCCCUCGGCUCAACCGAGGAACUGCGCUCAAAACUUCCGUGCUAGAGUGAGACAGAGGUGAGCGGAACUGAUGGUGGAGCGGUGAAAUGCGUUGAUAUCAUCAGGAACACCGGUGGCGAAGGCGGCUCACUGGGUCUCUACUGACGCUGAGGCACGAAAGCUAAGGUAGCGAACAGGAUUAGAUACCCGAGUAGUCC